GACGAACGCUGGCGGCGUGCUUAACACAUGCAAGUCGAACGGAGAGGCCCCUUCGGGGGUCCUCGAGUGGCGAACGGGUGAGUAACACGUGAGUAACCUGCCCUUGACUUCGGGAUAACUUCAGGAAACUGGGGCUAAUACCGGAUAGGAAUCCUUGCUGCAUGGUGGGGGUUGGAAAGCUUCGGCGGUUUUGGAUGGACUCGCGGCUUAUCAGCUUGUUGGUGGGGUAGUGGCUUACCAAGGCUUUGACGGGUAGCCGGCCUGAGAGGGCGACCGGCCACAUUGGGACUGAGAUACGGCCCAGACUCCUACGGGAGGCAGCAGUGGGGAAUAUUGCACAAUGGGCGGAAGCCUGAUGCAGCAACGCCGCGUGCGGGAUGACGGCCUUCGGGUUGGAAACCGCUUUCAGCAGGGGCGAAGCUUGUGGUGACGGUACCUGCAGAAGAAGCACCGGCUAACUACGUG
RNAcentral lists this ribosomal RNA (465 nucleotides) under uncultured bacterium. RNAcentral describes it as "partial 16S ribosomal RNA". It matches the Rfam family "Bacterial small subunit ribosomal RNA", at positions 28 to 507 of the family's 1533-position model. The record is from RNAcentral.